AGUGAACGCUGGCGGUAGGCCUAACACAUGCAAGUCGAACGGCAGCACAGUAAGAGCUUGCUCUUUCGGGUGGCGAGUGGCGGACGGGUGAUGAAUACAUCGGAAUCUACUUUUUCGUGGGGGAUAACGUAGGGAAACUUACGCUAAUACCGCAUACGACCUACGGGUGAAAGCAUGGGAUCUUCGGACCUUGCGCGAUUGAAUGAGCCGAUGUCGGAUUAGCUAGUUGGCGGGGUAAAGGCCCACCAAGGCGACGAUCCGUAGCUGGUCUGAGAGGAUGAUCAGCCACACUGGAACUGAGACACGGUCCAGACUCCUACGGGAGGCAGCAGUGGGGAAUAUUGGACAAUGGGCGAAAGCCUGAUCCAGCCAUACCGCGUGGGUGAAGAAGGCCUUCGGGUUGUAAAGCCCUUUUGUUGGGAAAGAAAAGCAGCAGGUUAAUACCCCGCUGUUCUGACGGUACCAAAAGAAUAAGCACCGGCUAACUUCGUG
This 492-nucleotide ribosomal RNA is filed under the name uncultured bacterium. Its description in RNAcentral is "partial 16S ribosomal RNA". It matches the Rfam family "Bacterial small subunit ribosomal RNA", at positions 29 to 507 of the family's 1533-position model. The record is from RNAcentral.